GGUUGUAGCUCAGUGGUAGAGUGCUUGCCUAGCAUGUGUGAGGCACUGGGUUCAAUCCUCAGCACCA
RNAcentral lists this transfer RNA (67 nucleotides) under Marmota marmota marmota (Alpine marmot). It matches the Rfam family "tRNA". Rfam says of the family: Transfer RNA (tRNA) molecules are approximately 80 nucleotides in length. The record is from Rfam by way of RNAcentral. RNAcentral also lists the same sequence under 1 other name. Lineage: Eukaryota; Metazoa; Chordata; Mammalia; Rodentia; Sciuridae.